Molecule: long non-coding RNA, 970 nt
Organism: Balaenoptera acutorostrata (minke whale)
Lineage: Eukaryota; Metazoa; Chordata; Mammalia; Artiodactyla; Balaenopteridae
Exons: 3
Source: RefSeq, a predicted model, not a curated record
UCAGAGCUGCAAGAAGCUGACCGCGCCCCUCUCCACGAGCAGAGCGUCCCCCUGAGGAUUUAAGGGGCGCCAACGACCUUGUCACUCCCCAAUCCGCUUUGAUUUCGGGGUCCUGGGGGUCGCCAAAAGCACGCGGCCAGCUGAGUGCCUCAAAGAUGAGGAAACUAAGGCACAGCACCCAAAAGGAGGACAACAAAACAAAACUGAUCUACCAACUCAACUAAGGGACUUCCUUAGCCUCCAGUCAGGAUGUGUACCCUCAGAAACCCGAAGCUCCCACUCCAGCCCCAGCGCAAUUCCCCUCAAUCAGCAUAGGUGACCAAAACAAAACCAAGAAAAAGGGCUUCUUCUACUAGAAAGUCUGUUUUCAACCAGCAACAACAAAGCCCCCAAAGACAAGGGUCUUCCUACCUUCUUGAGGCAGAGGAGAGAAGAGCACUGACAACAAAGAGAAGAAGAUACGAAAAAAUUUCUCAGUAAAUUAUCGUGCCACAUAACACUCAAUGAAUUUGUUCAAUUAAUUAAAAGCAGAAAUAUCCAUGAAAAAAACAUGAGUGAAAUUGCUCUCCCAAAGAAAGACACCUCCACUUAGCAGGCCUCCUCACUUAGCCUAAGCCUCUUCAUUCCUUCCCUGGGGAUGGAGGCCUAAAAUCUCUGGAUUCCCCCCAUUUAUGGCACAGGGACGCCACUCACAUGGCUGAGUUAAUUUAAGCUGCUGACUUGGAUUGCUGACAUGGGCAUUUGUAACAGCUCUAUUAACCCACUUUCUCUCAUGGUUGAUUUUAAUCUCUUUAAAUUUUGCCCAGCCAGUGAGAAAACUGAAAGCAUAGUUGAGAGGGUAUGGGAGACAGAAGUUGCAGGUCAUAAGCUGAGUGGUGGUUAAAUCCUAUGGAAGGAAGCAAACACGUGUAUAAUCCUUUCAGGAAAACAAGUAUUACUGGAGAGGAGAAAGCUGCCAAUGUAACUUUGU